UACGUAGGGUGCAAGCGUUGUCCGGAAUUAUUGGGCGUAAAGAGCUUGUAGGCGGUUUGUCGCGUCUGCUGUGAAAUUUCGGGGCUCAACCCCGAACUUGCAGUGGGUACGGGCAGGCUAGAGUGUGGUAGGGGAGACUGGAAUUCCUGGUGUAGCGGUGAAAUGCGCAGAUAUCAGGAGGAACACCAAUUGCGAAGGCAGCUCGCUGGGACGUCACUGACGCUGAGACGCGAAAGCGUGGGGAGCAAACAGG
RNAcentral lists this ribosomal RNA (253 nucleotides) under uncultured bacterium. RNAcentral's name for it is "partial 16S ribosomal RNA". It matches the Rfam family "Bacterial small subunit ribosomal RNA", at positions 524 to 776 of the family's 1533-position model. The record is from RNAcentral.